CAUUUAUUCCGGUAACAGUUAACAGUAUUUUUCGUCUGUCGCUGAAAGUGUGAAAUAUCGUACAGCAGAGUAGCCGGCGCCUGCGGGUCUGCCUGGACUAAUAAGCUUUCAAACUAAGGUGACAAAGUUUGCGAAAGAAUUGUUCUGAAAUUACUGUUUGCUCUGUUUCCAAACACGUUUUACUGUUUGAUCGGGGGUAAACAAAACAGCAACAAGGAAAACGUCGGGAAAUAAUUCACUUACUUUGCUGGGUCUUGCUGUUGCCUUAGCCCAGCCGCGAGUCGGUUGAGGUUAAGCAAGUGGCUACUCUCAUAAGAACAGCAUGAAUAAUAAAGCAUUACUGGCGACAUUGAAAAGCAUUAAUCAGCAUUUUGACACUAGCGGUGGAGCGUGAUGUUUCCCAGGAACUUUUCAUACGCUAUGUUUGAUUUUUACAACUUGCCUCUUUUUAUAUUCGUGAAUCAGUGUCGUUUUAAUGGCUGCAAAAUGUUGCAACCUUUUUAGAACGCACAGAACGAAAGAGAUCUAUUUCCUAAUCCGAAAAUCUACCAAUAGCAUUCGAUUUCCUAAGGGUUAUUUAAAACCAAACAAACCCUCUUUAAAAGGUGCCGCUGUAAUUAAUCAAAUUUGACAGAUGUCAUUAAUUAUCGCCAAAGGUAGGCGAAAAUCUGAUUAAAUAUGUCUGCCAAGGCUCGCCAAAACACGAAGCCUAAAGAAUUUAGAGUAGACUUCCUCUGAUGAGGUUUGCUAACUCAAGGUGAUGCUAUAAGGAUUAUAUUCAUGAACAGCAGAUCCUGUGACAAAGCUACCGUGAUCCUCUAAUAUGAGCUGACAUUAUCUACCACGAAUGUAUGAGUGCAUGUGCCAGGAUACUCCUUACAUAAUAAGCACUCAAAGAAAGGAAAACGUCCUGAUAAUGGUCUUUGGAUUUCUAAGGGACUUAACUACAGAGAUACACUGCAGAAAUCUCAACUGCAGAGGUGACACAUCCGACUGCUUCAAUUACAUGAAACAGCAUAAAACAUCGACCUUCACAGCUAUCGUUCCACUCAUCACCGUUGUUUCGACUCGAUUUUUUAAAUAUUUUAUGGUUAGAAACCCCACCGUUUUAGUUUCUUCAGGUGUGAAGUGCCAGAUUAGUUCUAGAUUCAAAGGAAUUACUGCUUAUUAAAAGAUGUUAAAUUCACACCCUC
Long non-coding RNA from Orbicella faveolata, 1193 nucleotides. Lineage: Eukaryota; Metazoa; Cnidaria; Anthozoa; Scleractinia; Merulinidae. The record is from RefSeq and is a predicted model, not a curated record.